This is a long non-coding RNA of Leopardus geoffroyi (Geoffroy's cat), 433 nucleotides long. RefSeq lists it as uncharacterized. Lineage: Eukaryota; Metazoa; Chordata; Mammalia; Carnivora; Felidae. The record is from RefSeq and is a predicted model, not a curated record. The transcript is spliced from 2 exons.
GGUAGUCUCUGAGACUGGUGGCUUGCGCUGUGGCUUCUCACCCACCUGACACACCUUUGAUCUUCCCAUAGCGAGGACACAGAAAAUGUGAAAGUUACAGAAAAAUUGAAAGAAGAGGAAGAGGAGAAGAAUCCAUAGAAGUCACUAUUGUCAUCAUAAUCACUGCCUGCAGACAUGAAUACUGUCAACAUUUGGGCAUAUUGCCCCAGAGGUUUUAUUUAUACAUUAUUUUUACUUGAUUGUAGUCACAUAUAACAAAACGUUAGAAUUUAACCGCUCUUUGAUAUCUAACCAUGAAAAUGAAGCAUAAAUUACCUUUUUGUAAUGUAGAACGUUCAUAAUUAAUUAAUUACGCCACUUUGAAGUGCUUUUAAUAGUACUCAACUGGAAAAGUUACAAUAAAAUGUUAUUAAUAUUUAGUAGUCACAUUAAA